RNAcentral lists this long non-coding RNA (1714 nucleotides) under Zostera marina. Its description in RNAcentral is "long non-coding RNA (ZMAR_LNC003583)". Lineage: Eukaryota; Viridiplantae; Streptophyta; Magnoliopsida; Alismatales; Zosteraceae. The record is from RNAcentral.
UCAUUACUUAUUUUCCAAUCCAAUCAUUCCCAAUAUAUACCUAUUUCCUAAUAUACCUACUCCCUAAUAUACCUACUUCUUAAUCCAAUUUAUUACCUUAAUUAAUCACACCAACCAAACCCACCUAAACCCUUAUAGCCGUUGGGUUUUUAUCCCUAUAAGUAUGAAUCACCACAACAUAAUCUCUAGGUUUUGGAUUCAAGUUCUUGGUCCUAAAUCACCAUCUCUAUUUCUUCAAUCUGCUUUCUGAAAUCUGCAAUCUGUCUUCUGAAAUUCCAAAUCAUCUGAUCAAGUCAUCUGUUCAUCUGGAGAUCAUUCAUCCGAUCUACUCAUCGUCUUCAUCAUCUCCAGCUCUCUACUCCUGCAAUCAUCUCGAAUCUGUAUAAUCAUUUAUCUUAAAUAUUAUCAUUCAUAAAGCAUUGUCAUUCAUAGAUCAUUAUAAAUAUUGUCAUUCAUAAUCUUAGUAGCAAUUCUAAUAUGGUAUCAGAGCAGUAAAGAUCUUGCUAAUUAUACAACAACAAGUUUUUUUUUCAUAAGUUAAAAGUUUUUUUUCUUCUUCCCCAUAAGUUAAAACUUUCCAAUUUGCUUCUUUUUCACAAGAUCAGCCUCCCUUUUCAGUUUCAUCAAAAGAAAUAAUCCAUAAUCAGGGUCAAUCUCACCAUCCCUACGAUUAACUCUAUCAGUGAUUUGCUGUGAAAAUUGUUUUAUAUCAUCCAAAUUUAUAACAGAAGUAGAAUCACUCCAUACUGUUGGAUCGUGAUCCGAGGCUAUAAGGGGGGAUGAUAGCCUCUUUUCGAUUUAUACAGGUUGAUAGCGGAAUUACCUGUAAAUGCUUAAUAAACAAAUGGUUGAACAGUAAUGAUAUAAGGAUAUUAUUAUUUUAAUUGAUAUAAUAAUGUAAGUAUUACUCUUUGAAGCUUACUACAGUAUAUGAAUACUGAGUCAACUUGUUUGAUAGUGUUUCACACACAACUAUAGUAUAUGAAUACUAAGUUAUAUUGGAAACACAAAUUGGAUUGUAGAGUAAAUGACCAGAUAACUGGAUAUAUUGAUACGCAAGUAAAUGACCAGAUAACUGGAUAUAUUGACAAGCAAGUAAGUGACCAGAUAACUGGAUAAGUUGAUAAACAAGUAAGUGAUCAGAUAACUGGAUAAAUAUGAUAAGUAAUACUUGAACAAAUAUAAGGAUUUAAAGCAAUGAAUGUAACCUCAGAUAGUUGACCAGAUAACUGGAUGAGGGAUCUGCGUAAAGUAGUCAACCUCUGUGUUUGACCAGAUAACUGGAAGAGGGAUCUUUUUAAUUAAGUGUUGCUUUUUUAAGUAAAAGAUAGAACUAUAAUUAACAGAGAACAACACAAGAGAUUUAUACUGGUUCACCCAAACAAGGGCUAGUCCAGUCCCGACCAACUGCCGGAAUUCACUCGCCUAAAGGUAAUGGCAAAACCUUUCUAAGCUUUAAGGCUACUUCGCUUAGGAACCAGUCUUUUACGGGUAGACUCACACCUUAGAGUAUCAAGGGAACUCUUAAGAAUCUCUAACUUUUACGGGUAAGUUAGUACCUUAGAGUAUCAAGGAACUCUUAAAAACCUCUCUAAGCUUUAAGGCUACUUCGCUUAGGAACCAGUCUUUUACGGGUAGACUCACACCUUAGAGUAUCAAGGGCACUCUUAAGAACCUCUAACUUUUACGGGUAAGUUAGUACCUUAGAGUAUCA